AGCAACAACAACAAUGGAAUAAAGAUGGCCUCCAGGAGCAGUGGGUUUGUGGGGUGCAGGCACCAAGCCUCAGGGAUAACCCUGGAGGCAAACAAACAAACAAACAAAAACAAGUGUAAACUAGGGAGUUGUUCUGCUUCUGACCUGGAUGAAAGAAAAAGUCCUGCUAUGAGCUGCCUGCAGGGUGAGGCACCAACCCUAUAGCUAGAAGGAACUGUAGUUUCUUGCCACUCACAAGCUGGGAAGAAGAUCCAAGGCUAAACUAGGUCAGAGAUUGAGCACUUCCUGACUUCAGCCCUGGGAGACUCUGAGCAUAGAACCCAGUGGAUCUGUGCCAAGACUUCUAACCCCCAAGGCCACAGGAUACUACAUGGCCAUAACUGUAAGCCAUGGGCUCUGGUCAUUCCAUUGCAGUAGUGAAUGCAGCAUGCUAGCCAAGCAGGAUGAUGACAGCCACUCUCACUGUGGCCACCUCCCCUGUUUCCUGAAUCCUGCUUUCUCUCAACUGUCCAUCAUCUGUCACCUGUUGGAGAUGAAUAGCAAUUAUGUCCUCUGUAAAUAGCAUCCUCUGACAGUAGUGGUGUUUUGUUUAUGAGAACAGUGUCUAUAGCAGCAUGGCUGCAUUUGAGCCUGGCAAGGUAUUUAACAUUACAGUCAAAUUUGAGGAAGUCAAGUAUUCUCUCUGUAGCUCCAUCCCUUCAUCUGUGAUGAUAUGAUAGAAAACGCAGUGCCUCUUCACAGUGUCAUUGUGAGAAAAAAGCCAGCAUGUUAAAGGGCUAAGGAGAGUGAUUAGCACCUCCCCCUUACCACCAUUACCACCACCACUGCUGUCAUCAUGGACCUUAUCAUCAUUACACCACGAGCACCAUUUUCAUCAGCCCUGUCAACAUCACCAGCAUGACGACAUCAUCAUCUCCAUUGCUGUCAUCACCACCUGAGUCACCACUGUCACCGACAUCAUCACCACCAUCACCAUUGGCACCAUCAGCAUCACCACCACCAUCCUUUCCAUCACCAGCAUUCCACCAUUGCCAUAACUGCCAGUCAGGAAAGGAGAGAUGCCACGGCCUGCAUCACCAUCCAAGAAGCUCCCUCCUACCCAUCACUCUUCUCUGCAUUUGGCUCCUCUUCUCUCCCUAGUCCCAGGAGCAAGGGGCCAACGGAAUGAAAGGCUGCUGUGCAGAAGCCAGCCCCUCAGACCCCAGAGGGGCCCCAGAGCCUCAGGUGUGAAGUCAGAGGUGUACCCGAUGAUGUCCCACAGUGCUGGCUGCAGAGUUCUCUUUGCCCACGCAAGACCAGGAGUUACCUGAGUGUGACACCAAGGACACCGAGUGAAGCACAGUACAGACCUCUGGGAGUCUGGGCAGCUGCUCAGAAACAGUCACAGCUGCAGGGCAGUCACACCAGGAAAGUGGCUGCCAUGAAUUGUCUGUCAAUCCUUGCUAAACCUGUCAAACCAUAAGAAAGGAAACAGACAUCGGCCCACAGAUAGCUCUGCCUUGAGGGACCAGAGCAGCUGUCACAGCUGAUGGCAGGGACCAGCCAAGGAGGUAGGUCUCAGGCAGGGUCUUCCUACUCCUGGCAUUUUCUGCAACAAAAAAGGGUGGAGCACAGGUAAAGUGACAACUUGGACCUCAGAGACAUCACACUCGCAGAUAACAGGUGAGUCUCAAAAGACCACCUACUCCAUGGCUCCCCUUCUGUGAGAAGCCUGAGGGAGGCUUGGGCUGUGAUGGCAUAAGGGUUUGAGGGUUUCAUGGGAGGUAAUGACAAUGUUCUGAAAUGAAUCGUGGUGAUGGAUUAAACACCAGAAGCCACUGAGCUGAAUGUGUCAAGUGAGACAGCUCCAGGGUAUGUGCUGCUGCUCUCUUCUCUCUCUCAAAAGAGCUGUUACCAACAAAGUAGGAGGAGGGGAGGGGAGACAACACAGUGGUUCUGCAAAAGACUCUCAUGCCUAAGGCUCAGAGGUCCCAGGUUCAAUCCCCAGCACUGCCAUCAGUCAGAGCUAAGAUCUGGUUUAAAAAGCCAAAUAGGGGAGUCGGGCAGUAUCGCAGUGGGUUAAGUGCAAGGACUGGCAGAAGGAUCCCCGUUUGAGCUUCUGGCUCCCCACCUGCAGGGGAGUUGAUUCACAGCUGCUGAAGCAGGUCUGCAGGUGUCUUUCUCUCCCUCUCUCUGUCUUCCCCUCCUCUCUGUCCUAUCCAACAAUAUCAGUAACAAUAACAAUAAAAAGACAAGGGCAGCAAAAGAGAAAAAUAAAUAAAUAAAAAUUUUAAAAAAGAGUCCAGUGAUUUAAAAAAAAAAGCCAAAUAGAUGGGAGUCAGGCAGUAGUGCAGUGGGUUAAGCGCAGGUGGUGCAAAGCGCAAGGACCUGUGUAAAGAUCCUGGUUCGAAGCUCCUGGUUCCCCACCUGUAGGGGAGUCACUUCACAGGCGGUGAAGCAGGUCUGCAGCUGUCUAUCUUUCUCUCCCUGUCUUCCCUUCCUCUCUCCAUUUCUCUCUGUCCUAUCUUACAACAACAAUGAAAAACAACAAGAGCAACAAAAGGGAAAAUAAUGUUAAAAAAAAAAGCCAAAUAGAUUUCCCCAAAUUGACUGCAACUAAGUCAAGUUUGUACCUGUGGCACAGAAGCUCUACCAUCAGAGCUCCUUGGUCCCCUGUCAUCAGCACACACCAUGCUCGAGAGGUUCUCCUGAGGCUGCCAUACAACCGUCAGAGGGACACUGUCAGGCACAGCCUGUGAUACUUCCUCCUGGACGCAAGAGACAAAGCUCUUUGUAAGGGGCCCAGUCCUUGCCCAGGAUGGCACCUCACACGAGGACCCUUCCCUCAUCCCUUCUCUAUUGUUCUCUCCUCCCAGGAGGGCUGCUCUGCCCCUAAUAAAUGGGCCCUUCCAUGCCUCGCUGUUCUGUUCUCUUCACUGAACUGGGUGACCACCACCUAUUUUCAGUGCACAGGACACAAGGACCAGAGAAAAUGGGGACAGAGUCCCCCCACACACAUACACACCCUCAGCUCCUUGAU
This is a long non-coding RNA of Erinaceus europaeus (western European hedgehog), 3019 nucleotides long. RefSeq lists it as uncharacterized. NCBI's taxonomy places the organism in Eukaryota, Metazoa, Chordata, Mammalia, Eulipotyphla, Erinaceidae. The transcript has 4 exons. The record is from RefSeq and is a predicted model, not a curated record.